ACUGUUUUGGCAGAUUUAAUGUAAUAGGUUUAGGGUCUAUUUAUGUAGUUUAUUUUACAAACAGUA
This 66-nucleotide transfer RNA is filed under the name Falconius longicornis. RNAcentral's name for it is "tRNA-Leu". Lineage: Eukaryota; Metazoa; Arthropoda; Insecta; Orthoptera; Tetrigidae. The record is from RNAcentral.